UCCAGGUCUGAUAACAUUGAGAGCAUGGUGAGAGAAAACUCGAACAUGGUGAAAGAGAAUACGCUCCAGAUUGAGGGUCUGAAAAGACGAUUGAUUUUGUGUGCGCGGAAAUGAAAGAUAUGAAGGGGAAAGUUUGCGACCUGGAAAAAAAAAAGUAACUAAAGAGGAAGGUCGAGUGGACAACUGCCAACAGAGAAUAUCUGAGUUGGAAAGAUAUUCCAGGAGGUGGAAUCUCAGACUACAUGGAGUCAAGGAGGCUGAGAAAGAAGACGUAAGGGGAAAGGUGAUCGAGAUAUGCCAGUCUGUUCUGCCAGAGCAAAAUCAUAGGCUGCCUGACGUCAUCGACACCGACUCGGAGCCAAGCGACAAGGUAGCACCAGACCCAGAGGCAUCAUCGUGCAGUUCACCUCCCGAAUCUACAGAGAUGCUGUAUGGAAAGCAGCCAAAACAUCCUCCUACCUGCAGGACAAUCAUUUGAGGUUCGCUGAAGAUCUGUCCAGGAGGACAGAGAACGUCGUGACAAACUGUGGCCGAUGAUAGACAAAGCCCGUAAGGAUAGGUCGGCUUAUUUCGUGGGAGGCCGAGGAUUCAUCAGUGGAUCAGAAGUUUUCCUCCUUGAUAGAGACGCUUUUUCAGUCUCCAAAAUGACAUUUCUGUAAGAUUGUUUACAUGGUGAACUUGAUAUUUUCACCCUCAGGUUAAAGUUUUAUUUUGUGUUGAAGAGUGUUUUUUUCUAUAAAAAGCUAGAUUUGAACCAUAGCAGAUAGUUAAGUACUAUAUUUUUAUAAGCUUAGUCACUCAGGGUUUUUACUGUUCUAUUACCUAAAUUGUGCAGCACCCGGUCCCCUUAUUCUAUAGAUCUAUUCUUAGCUGUAGAAGUUUAGAACUUACUUUUUCUCUUUCUUUUUUCUAAUAACUUUGUCUUUUUCAUUUGUUUCUCUUAAUACCAGGGGUUUAAGACAAACAUGUAAACGCAAAGCUUUGUUUUUGUUUGCCAAACAAUUUAAAACAGAUUUUUGCUUUUUCCAAGAGAGUCAUUCCACACCUGCUGAUACAAAUUUUUGGAAAUCUCAAUGGGGUAAUGAAGUCUGGUUGUCCCAUGGCUCUGAGCGUUCUGCUGGAGUUGCCACGCUUAAAAAUUCUUUUUCUGGGGAUGUGUUACAUUCUGACUGUGACACCUUAGGACACUACCUCUGAUCAAUAAUCAGACACAAUAACAGUACUUUCAUUGCAGUAAAUAUAUAUGGUUACAAUAAUAAAACUGAAAAUGAUAAAUUACUUGACUCCUUAGAAGAAAGAAUUACUUUCUGGCUCUCCAAAUACCCAAAUUCAGUCCUCUUAAUUGGUGGAGACUUUAACAUUGCUUUAGAUAAUAUGGUUGAUAGGUGGCCUCCAGGGCAGCAGUCUUCAUACAGUGCAAACUUAAAAAAUUUUAUGGGAAAAUUUAAUGUUGCGGAUAUUUGAGAGAAAAAUUUCCAGACGAUAGACUCUUUACUUGGAGCAAUAAGACAGGAUCCAGGCAAUCACGUAUUGACUUUUGGCUUGUUUCUGACUGUAUUGAUAAAGAUAAUAUUACUGUUAAUAUACUUGCCACCCCCCUCACUGAUCAUAGAGCAAUUCACAUUAGCGUCCAAAUGUUUACACUAGAUAAUAUACCUCAUAAAUUCUCUUAUUGGAAGUUAAAUAAUUCUUUACUAAAAGAUAAGAUGGUUAACAUGCAGAUUAAUAAAUUAAUUGUUUAUUAUUGGAAUAAAGCUAACAGAGAGAAGUCCUUUUGUACCAAUUGGGAAGUUUUUAAAUUUGAAGCAUGCAAAUUCUUGAGAAGAUAUGGGAGUCAAAUUACUAAAUUAAGGAAAGCUGAAGAACAAGAAGUGAUAAGCAGAAUUGCCUCUUAUUACCAGAAGUCCCCAGAAGAAAUCUCAGAGGAAGAUAAAUUAACUUUACUAGAACUUCAAAAUAAAUUGGACGGUUUAUAUCGACGCAAGGCUGAGGGUGCUUUUGUAAGAUCCAGGAAGAGGUGGCUGGAGGAGGGUGAACAAAAUUCUGCUUACUUUUUCAGGCUUGAAAAAUACAGAUCAAAAACAAACUCUAUUCAUCAACUAAAUAUUAAUGGCGUUGUCUCCGACAAUCCUAGAGAAAUUUCAUAUUUCUGUGC
Molecule: long non-coding RNA, 2155 nt
Organism: Oreochromis aureus
Lineage: Eukaryota; Metazoa; Chordata; Actinopteri; Cichliformes; Cichlidae
Source: Ensembl